CCAAAACCAAGAGUGUGCUGCUUAACUGACUGAACCACCCCGGCACCCCAUAACUAUAAGAGAAAUUACCAUCAGCUAGAAGAAGCAAGGAAGGUUUCCCUUGGAGACUUCAAAGAGGAUAUGGCCCUGCCACACCUUGAGUUUGACCUCCAGAAAUAGAACUGCCUAGGACCUCCAACACAGUGUUCAGUAGAUGGUACUAAAUUGUGCAUUCUUGCCUUGUUCUUGAUCUCCGGGGGAAGUCAUUCAAACUUACACCCUUUUUUUUCAAUCUUACACUGUUAAGCAUGAUGCAACAUUAAACCUUUUUGAUCGUUAAACCUUAUGUUCCUGGUAUAAGCCCCACUUGGUCAUAAUGCGUUAUCCAUUUUAUAUAUUAUUGAAUUUAAUUUGCUAAUAUUUUGUUAAUAAUUUUACAUCAUGUUCAUGAGGAUUGCUGGUCUGUAGUUUUCUUGUGAUAUUCUUGAUGGUUUUGGCAUCAAGGUGAUGCUGACUUCAUAGAAUGUGUUGGAAAACAUUACUCUUCCUUUGCUUUAUGGA
Lutra lutra (Eurasian river otter) is the source of this 540-nucleotide long non-coding RNA. RefSeq lists it as uncharacterized. The record is from RefSeq and is a predicted model, not a curated record. The transcript has 3 exons. Lineage: Eukaryota; Metazoa; Chordata; Mammalia; Carnivora; Mustelidae.